ACUGGGCGUGGUGGCGUGCGCCUGUAAUCCUAGCUACUCAGGAGGUUGAAGGCAGGAGAAUCGCUUGAACCCGGGAGGCCGAGGUUGCAGUGAGCUGAGAUCAUGUCACUGCACUCCAGCCUGGGUAACAGAGUGAGUCUCUGUCUCAA
RNAcentral lists this non-coding RNA (149 nucleotides) under Chlorocebus sabaeus (green monkey). The record is from Rfam by way of RNAcentral. Lineage: Eukaryota; Metazoa; Chordata; Mammalia; Primates; Cercopithecidae.